This 1024-nucleotide ribosomal RNA is filed under the name Ammonia sp. RNAcentral's name for it is "SSU rRNA". It matches the Rfam family "Eukaryotic small subunit ribosomal RNA", at positions 1160 to 1816 of the family's 1831-position model. The record is from RNAcentral. Lineage: Eukaryota; Foraminifera; Rotaliida; Rotaliidae.
AAGGGCACCACAAGAACGCGUGGAGCAUGUGGCUUAAUUUGACUCAACGCGGGAAAUCUUACCGGGUCCGGACACACUGAGGAUUGACAGAUAUACGUACCAUAUAUAUGCUUCGGCGUAUUGUGUGUACUGAAAGAUGCUAGUUCUUUCAUGAUUAUGUGAUAGGUGGUGCAUGGCCGUUCUUAGUUCGUGGAGUGAUCUGUCUGCUUAAUUGCGUAUCAUUAAAGAGACCUAGUAUACGCGUAAGACUUCGUUUUACGGUUCGUGACCCCCCUCACGGGCGUGUGUCGCACGUACGGGUCAUACUCACAGGUCUCCGAUAGCAACGAACGUGACCGUACUCUAUUGUUGCAGCGAAUGUAUAUAUCCUAUACGGGUGUAUCUACCGUACGCGUGUCGUACAUUAAACUAUAGAGACCGCUGUAUUUUCCUUAAACCAGAAGAAGGAUACGGCAAUAACAGGUCUGUGAUGCCCUCAGAUGUUCCGGGCUGCACACGUGCCACAAUGAUCAUUGCACUGUGCAUCUAACCCAAUGUGCGUGGGGCGCCACGGUAUAUAUUUAUACUUCGGUGUAAUAUAUAUCAGUUGGUCGGCCACGCCGAACCUACUUGGAAAGUAAAAUUUCUCAGUGGGUAAUCCAUUAGAAGUAAUGACUCGCAUAGACCAUGGUACACACUUAUAUUAUGUACGCGCAGGUUCUACCCGGCCGGCCUUUGUGUCGGUGCAGUGUGUAGCUUGUUGUUCGUACGUACCACUCCGUAUUAAUUCAUACGUGGGAUAGAUCAUUGUUUAAUUGUUGGUCUCGGUCUUAACUAGGAAUGCCUUGUACGGUCUCCGGUUCAACAUACCACCCGGAAUACGUCCCUGCCCUCUGUACACACCGCCCGUCGCUCUUACCGAUGGAUUAUACUAUGAAUCUAUAGGACUGCCAAAGUUGUGUCUCGACACGCUUAGUGGAAAUAUAUAUGAAUAGUGUGAUCUAAAGGAAAGAGAAGUCGUAACAAGGCAUCGGUAGGUGAACCU